UGGGGAAUUUUGGACAAUGGGCGAAAGCCUGAUCCAGCAAUGCCGCGUGUGUGAAGAAGGCCUUCGGGUUGUAAAGCACUUUUGUCCGGAAAGAAAUCCUUGGCUCUAAUACAGUCGGGGGAUGACGGUACCGGAAGAAUAAGCACCGGCUAACUACGUGCCAGCAGCCGCGGUAAUACGUAGGGUGCAAGCGUUAAUCGGAAUUACUGGGCGUAAAGCGUGCGCAGGCGGUUUGCUAAGACCGAUGUGAAAUCCCCGGGCUCAACCUGGGAACUGCAUUGGUGACUGGCAGGCUAGAGUAUGGCAGAGGGGGGUAGAAUUCCACGUGUAGCAGUGAAAUGCGUAGAGAUGUGGAGGAAUACCGAUGGCGAAGGCAGCCCCCUGGGCCAAUACUGACGCUCAUGCACGAAAAGCGUGGGGAGCAAACAGGAUUAGAUACCCUGGUAGUCCACGCCCUAAACGAUGUCAACUAGUUGUUGGGGAUUCAUUUCCUUAGUAACGUAGCUAACGCGUGAAGUUGACCGCCUGGGGAGUACGGUCGCAAGAUUAGAACUCAAAUGAAUUGACGGGGUCAUAGCUGUUUCCU
This 586-nucleotide ribosomal RNA is filed under the name uncultured bacterium. RNAcentral describes it as "partial 16S ribosomal RNA". It matches the Rfam family "Bacterial small subunit ribosomal RNA", at positions 355 to 1375 of the family's 1533-position model. The record is from RNAcentral.